Molecule: ribosomal RNA, 155 nt
Filed under: uncultured bacterium
Lineage: Bacteria
Description: partial 16S ribosomal RNA
Rfam family: Bacterial small subunit ribosomal RNA
Source: RNAcentral
UAAGGAAUAUUGGUCAAUGGACGCAACUCUGAACCAGCCAUGCCGCGUGAAGGAUGAAGGUCCUCUGGAUUGUAAACUUCUUUUAUAUGGGAAGAAACCACUUUUAUCUAAUGGUGUUGACGGUACCAUAGGAAUAAGCACCGGCUAACUCCGUG